This 505-nucleotide ribosomal RNA is filed under the name uncultured Glomus. RNAcentral's name for it is "SSU rRNA". It matches the Rfam family "Eukaryotic small subunit ribosomal RNA", at positions 569 to 1078 of the family's 1831-position model. Lineage: Eukaryota; Fungi; Glomeromycota; Glomeromycetes; Glomerales; Glomeraceae. The record is from RNAcentral.
AGCAGCCGCGGUAAUUCCAGCUCCAAUAGCGUAUAUUAAAGUUGCUGCAGUUAAAAAGCUCGUAGUUGAAUUUCGGGAUCAAUAUUUCGGUCAUGCCGUUGGUAUGCACUGUUAUCAUUGAUUCUCACCUUCUAAAGAACCGUAAUGCCAUUAAUUUGGUGUUACGGGGAAUUAGGACUGUUACCUUGAAAAAAUUAGAGUGUUUAAAGCAGGCUCACGCUUGAAUACAUUAGCAUGGAAUAAUGAAAUAGGACAUCCGAUUCUAUUUUGUUGGUUUCUAGGAUCGAUGUAAUGAUUAAUAGGGAUAGUUGGGGGCAUUAGUAUUCAAUUGUCAGAGGUGAAAUUCUUGGAUUUAUUGAAGACUAACUACUGCGAAAGCAUUUGCCAAGGAUGUUUUCAUUAAUCAAGAACGAAAGUUAGGGGAUCGAAGACGAUCAGAUACCGUCGUAGUCUUAACCAUAAACUAUGCCGACUAGGGAUCGGAUGAUGUUAAUUUAAUGACUCA